GACGAACGCUGGCGGCGUGCUUAACACAUGCAAGUCGAGCGGUAAGGCCCUUCGGGUACACGAGCGGCGAACGGGUGAGUAACACGUGGGUGACCUGCCCUUAGCUCUGGGAUAAGCCUGGGAAACUGGGUCUAAUACCGGAUAUGACCUCAUGACGCAUGUUGUGGGGUGGAAAGCCUUGUGCGGCUAGGGAUGGGCCCGCGGCCUAUCAGCUUGUUGGUGGGGGUGAUGGCCCACCAAGGCGACGACGGGUAGCCGGCUUGAGAGGGCGACCGGCCACACUGGGACUGAGACACGGCCCAGACUCCUACGGGAGGCAGCAGUGGGGAAUCUUGCGCAAUGGGCGAAAGCCUGACGCAGCGACGCCGCGUGA
RNAcentral lists this ribosomal RNA (373 nucleotides) under uncultured bacterium. RNAcentral describes it as "bacterial SSU rRNA". It matches the Rfam family "Bacterial small subunit ribosomal RNA", at positions 28 to 404 of the family's 1533-position model. The record is from RNAcentral.